This 336-nucleotide ribosomal RNA is filed under the name uncultured Verrucomicrobiota bacterium. RNAcentral describes it as "bacterial SSU rRNA". It matches the Rfam family "Bacterial small subunit ribosomal RNA", at positions 29 to 351 of the family's 1533-position model. Lineage: Bacteria; Pseudomonadati; Verrucomicrobiota. The record is from RNAcentral.
AACGAACGCUGGCGGCGUGGAUAAGACAUGCAAGUCGAACGGGACAGGUAGCAAUAUCUGUCUAGUGGCGAACGGGUGCGUAACACGUGGGCAACAUGCCUGGAAGAGCGGGAUAGCCCGGGGGAAACUCGGAUUAAUACCGCAUGUGACAACGGAGCGGCUUCGCUCUGUUUUUCAAAGGUGGGGACCGCAAGGCCUGCCGCUUCCAGAUUGGCCCGCGUCCUAUCAGCUAGUUGGCGGGGUAAAAGCCCACCAAGGCGACGACGGGUAGCUGGUCUGAGAGGACGACCAGCCACACUGGAACUGAGACACGGUCCAGACACCUACGGGUGGCAG